Molecule: ribosomal RNA, 253 nt
Filed under: uncultured bacterium
Lineage: Bacteria
Description: partial 16S ribosomal RNA
Rfam family: Bacterial small subunit ribosomal RNA
Source: RNAcentral
UACGUAGGCGACAAGCGUUGUCCGGAUUUACUGGGCGUAAAGAGCGCGCAGGCGGUCGAUCAAGUCGAGUGUGAAAGCCCCCGGCUCAACUGGGGAGGGUCAUUCGAUACUGAUCGACUCGAAGGCAGGAGAGGGUAGUGGAAUUCCUGGUGUAGCGGUGAAAUGCGCAGAUAUCAGGAGGAACACCGGUGGCGAAGGCGGGUCUCUGGGCCGAUACUGACGCUGAGGAGCGAAAGCGUGGGGAGCGAACAGG